GACCGCAUAGCUCAGUUGGAAGAGCAUUGGGCUAGUAUUCCAAAGGUCGUAGGUUCAAAUCCCACCGUGGCCG
Molecule: non-coding RNA, 73 nt
Organism: Paramuricea clavata
Lineage: Eukaryota; Metazoa; Cnidaria; Anthozoa; Malacalcyonacea; Plexauridae
Source: the annotation of a GenBank genome assembly